AUGCGUACGGUUAACACUCCAACUUCGAAGAAUCAGGCCAAGAAGAUUAGGCUGCACGACCGCUACUGCGACGGGAUGAUGCCGCUGUGCAACCCGAGCUCCGAGGCGAGGCAGCUUUCCGCGUCCUCCACCGGGCUCCCGACGUCGCACCAGGAACUGUUCAUGAGCGCCGGGUUUCAACAGCAGCAGCAGCCGCAGCACCGCGACGCCGCCGCCGGGUGGGCGCGCCAGGAGUACUACGCGCCGCCGCAGAGGUCGGCGGCGUUCGCGCAGAGAUGCGUCGGCUCCAGCACGGCGGCGUUCUACGCGGCCGAGCACCUGCUCGGCAUCGGGCAGUUCGACGGCGCUCCCCUCGGGAUGCUCCCGCCGGCGGCAACGAUGAUGCCAGCGGUGCCGGCCAGGACGCGGCCGGAGAGCGGCGACAUGUACAUGUCGCACGAGCUCGAGCCGGUGAUGCUCCGCGCGGACCGGUCGCCGUCAGUGAGGACGUACUACGUGCAGCCGCAGCAGCGGCGGGACCCGGUGGAGCUCGAGCUGCCACUGCCACUGCCGCCAGCGCAGGAGCAAGAGAGCGCGCACCAUAACCUGUUCGGCAACCCUCCGACCAUCCAACCGCACUCGUUCUCACCCCAUGUCCCGUCGAUGGAGGCGCCGAGCAGCAGCAGCAGCCUGCUGAGCCAGAUGGAGAGCCACCUGUCCGCCAGGAGCAGCGCCGGCGCGCCAGCGACCUCCACCGGCACCGGCAGCGUGUCAGCGCCUCCGCCGAGCAAGACGCGGAUCCGGUGGACGCCGGAGCUGCACGAGCGGUUCGUGGACUGCGUGAGCAAGCUCGGCGGCGCGGACAGGGCGACUCCGAAGGGGAUCCUGAAGCUGAUGAACUCGGACGGCCUCACCAUCUACCACAUCAAGAGCCACCUCCAGAAAUACCGGAUGGCCAAGUACAUGCCGGCACCAUCUUCAUCGUCGUCGUCGGAAGGGAGGCAGCACGAGAAGAGGGCCGCCGGAAGCGACACCCAGCAUGAACUGGACCCCAAAACUGGGAUGCACAUCACGGAAGCACUCCGCGUCCAGCUCGACGUGCAGCGCCGCCUCCACGAGCAGCUCGAGAUACAGCGGAAGCUGCAGGUGAGGAUCGAGGAGCAGGGCAAGAGGCUGCAGAAGAUGUUCGAGGACCAGCUCAAGGCCAGCGGCAACACCGCGCCGGCCGCGGGCCCGGACGUCGUCCUCUUCCCGGCCGCGGCGGAGACGCCGAGCGAUCAAGAGGAGGACGCCGUGUUCGUCGAUGUCAUCGACGAUGACGACGAGGUGCAGAUAAUCUCCGUCGCCAGCGGCAGCUAUGACGACGACUUAGCCUUGUAA
RNAcentral lists this ribosomal RNA (1359 nucleotides) under Triticum aestivum (bread wheat). Its description in RNAcentral is "partial small subunit ribosomal RNA". The record is from RNAcentral. Lineage: Eukaryota; Viridiplantae; Streptophyta; Magnoliopsida; Poales; Poaceae.